ACACAUCUAACCACUCUUCAGCUGAUAUCCACUUGCUGACAAAUGAAUCUCUCUGGCCCCUGGACUGUGCCCUGAAACACAGCUUAAAACAAUACUCAGAGAGUGAGAGCCUUCAGAUUUGGGUGAGUGAUGCCAUUAGAACCAAGAUUUCUUCCAUUCUUCUGCUCUAUCAUUCUCAGCACAACAUGCUUUUCUCAUUAAGGCCGCUGUGGUUCGUCUUCUGCCUGGGAACUGGAUAAAAACAUCAGUGAAUACCCCAAAGAUUUUCAAAAAUGCUUGUUGAUAAAAUGAAGUCAGAAUGUGAGAUGAGCCCUUCCACCUGAGUGAUGUUGGUCUUGGCUGUGUGAUUUGCUUUGGCUGAUGAUAAGUUGAUGGAAGUGAUAGUAAGACAAUGCUGAGCCUCAUCCUCGGAAGUAUCUCUGCCUUCACCUGGCUUUGUGCACCACUGCCCUGGCUUUGAGAAGAACAUGAGCCCAGUAAAUUGUUAGUCCAGGAAGAAUGAGAGAGAAAGUCCUGAGGCAGAGAAGUGGAGAGAAGUUGCUGCUUGAGCUUGAGAAAGAAUGGUGGCAGAGUACAUGCAUGGAAGUGCUACCAUAGCUGCUCUGAAAUCAGAGGAAAGUGGAAUUAUAAGAAGACCCCAUCUGACAAGGCUCAUAAAGGAGAGCAACUCUUAUGGAAUACAUCCAAGAUAUAUACGUCUUUGAAGAAAGACAUCACUCAACUGUGAAAGAUCACCAUGACCCCUGCUUUAAUUUCAUCAAAAAACUUAGUCCAUCAGCUCAGUUACCCUUUAGCCUUGCAUGGGAAUUGACUCAGAGCUUCUGCAAGAUCAGGCCCUAUAUUAGGUAUUGAGGGUUCAGGGAUGAACUAAGCUGAUCUGGUUCCUGCUCUCUAGGCUGUAGAAGAUGGCAAGUGCUGUGGACUUCAAAGAAAAGAUUUCUGAAGUGUCAUGUUAUGACAAUUGUGAUGCUUCAAACUAUGUUGACUAUUCAUUUACAGCAUAAAGAAGAGUGAGCCACUUUAUCACUGCAGUAAUUAUAUUUUAAAAAUAAAGAAAAUAAAACAAAUGGAGUUUCCCACCCAAUCCAUGGAGACACAGACACGAAGUCUUACUAUAGAUGUGUGGCCAAUCCUUACAUUGCUUUUAUUACAAGCCUGGAAAUGACAAUAAAAUACAUGAACUUGAGAGUAUAUA
This 1195-nucleotide long non-coding RNA is filed under the name Homo sapiens (human). RNAcentral's name for it is "HSALNT0393734". Lineage: Eukaryota; Metazoa; Chordata; Mammalia; Primates; Hominidae. The record is from RNAcentral.